GACGAACGCUGGCGGCGUGCUUAACACAUGCAAGUCGAGCGAUGAAGCUCCUUCGGGAGUGGAUUAGCGGCGGACGGGUGAGUAACACGUGGGUAACCUGCCUCAUAGAGGGGAAUAGCCUUCCGAAAGGAAGAUUAAUACCGCAUAAGGUUGUAGUGCUGCAUGGUAUAGCAAUUAAAGGAGCAAUCCGCUAUGAGAUGGACCCGCGUCGCAUUAGCUAGUUGGUGAGGUAACGGCUCACCAAGGCGACGAUGCGUAGCCGACCUGAGAGGGUGAUCGGCAACAUUGGGACUGAGACACGGCCCAGACUCCUACGGGAGGCAGCAGUGGGGAAUAUUGCACAAUGGGGGAAACCCUGAUGCAGCAACGCCGCGUGAGUGAUGACGGUCUUCGGAUUGUAAAGCUCUGUCUUCAGGGACGAUAAUGACGGUACCUGAGGAGGAAGCCACGGCUAACUACGUGCCAGCCGCCGCGGUAA
This 478-nucleotide ribosomal RNA is filed under the name uncultured bacterium. RNAcentral describes it as "partial 16S ribosomal RNA". It matches the Rfam family "Bacterial small subunit ribosomal RNA", at positions 28 to 523 of the family's 1533-position model. The record is from RNAcentral.